UGAACAUAUAUUUGCAUGUGGAUUGGGAAGGAAAUAAAUGGGACUUUGGAAAUAAUGGAAAUAUUUUUCUUAUGAAAGUUUUUCAUUAAAAAAUUUAUUUCUACUAUAAUUAUUCUGUUGGUUAGCUUUUAGUUUUCACUCCUUUUUCUGAUUCACACUCCUUUAGUGACCAAAUGAAUAUAACCCAACUUCUCAUACAUUGGGAAUGUCUGUUUAAUAUUAAAUAGUAUGUAAUUGAAUCUGCAAAUGCGGGAACUGAGAUGCCAUCUCCAUGUGCACACCUCUGCAUAUAAGUACUUGUAGCAUUUACUGUCACUUAAUUUGAUUGAACUUGAAAGAUAAAUUUGUAGAAUCUGGUUAGUGCCAUCAAUCUCCUUUGGAAGCUGCCAUCAGGUGAAUGCUAUCCUAUAAUACCAAUAGUAAGGCAGGAACUAUGUUCACCUGACUUAGUACCCAAGAGGAAAUUGACAGCAAUUCUAGAGAAUGAGUCAGAUACAGUGGAAAGAAUUCCAGCCUAGGAAGAAGGAGACCUGAAUACUAAUGGACUUUAUUACUAACUUGCAUUGUGACCCUAGGCAUAACCUUUCCAUGACUGUUUUCUCAUGUCAAAUAAGGGUGUUUGUGUAGCUGCUCUCCAGAGUCUUUCCAAAAGCUCUAACAUCCUGUGGUAUAAUAGGUUGCCUUUCACAUUCAAUCUUACAAUGUGAUGGCAAAUACCACAUGCCUAAGCCUGAAUCUCUUAUAUUUCAAUUAAAAAAUAGAACCAUGUAAGAUGGAAAAACUCAGUAGUACUAGAGAAUGUUGAUAAAACUUGUGGCAGACUUCCAGUUCAUUCACAAUGGUUUUGUUUUUGUUUUAAUGUCCUUUUUCUGGUGAGUAUUCCAGUUUUCAUUUUCCAUAUACUCUGUAUGUAAAGUCUGGUAUUCAUUAAGUUGUGGCCAGUAUUUGCUACUAGAACAGAAAUACACUGUCACAUUUGCUAGAAUAGAACUGUUUUGGGCCUCUCCUUUCCUAUGAAGCAGUGCUGGGCCUUAUAGAGUUAAAUUCUAAAGUGGCACAAGAUAGCAGACCCUGUGCAAAUUAAUGCCUGAGACUACAAAGAGGGGACCUAAGCACUUGCAAGAUUCAGAGAGAGAAAUGAAGAAGUAAUUGCAUACUUUUAGCAUUGUUGACAAAUUUACUUGUUGGAAACCAAAGAUAGUGUUUCUGAUGACAACUCUCACAGGGAUUGGCCAGUUGUAUGAGUAUGCUGUGGAAAGGGUAAACCAGAAGUUAGUUAGAGGAUGGUCCCACUUGCCUGCCUAUAGCAGAGUGCCAACCAGUCCUGAGUGUGAAAUUCAAGUUCAAUGUGUGUACUUUGUGUGGUGUGCUUUAUGGACCCGCAUAUACUAUAUUCAUUAAUGAUGAUAAGAUGUUUCACAGAAUCCAAUAACCAUUAGUGGGUUGAGUUUAAAAUCUCAAUACAUCAGCCAGUAGGAGCCAGAUCACAAGGAUACUGAUGUCUACUGAGAUUAUACUCAUAACUUCCAGAUAAAAUAAGUUGAGGAGGAUCUACAUUUUUCACUGUUUAUCGAAUUGUAUCUCAUUUGGUUGUGCAUUACUUUUGUCAAAAUGUGUUAUCUGUAAACCCAUGUGUAGUGAAAUUCUUCUGUAACUUUGGAUUAAAGGUCUUUUGGAUUAUGGUCUUUUGUUUGUUUGAUUUUUAAGUAAGUUAUUUCUUUUGUAGACAUGCUGAUGGUAUGGUUACAUCCUUAUGACCUCAGCAUCUGAUCUUUUAACGAUUUUUUUGUUUCCAAUAUUGUUACUUUACAUUGUGGUUGAAGCAAUAGAAAAUUGAAAUAUGGAUUGUGCAUGACUGUGUCUUGAGUGUAAAAAUAUUGCAGUUUGAAACUUGGAC
This 1897-nucleotide long non-coding RNA is filed under the name Marmota monax (woodchuck). Lineage: Eukaryota; Metazoa; Chordata; Mammalia; Rodentia; Sciuridae. The record is from RNAcentral.